GUCGAGCGGAUGAGGUAGCUUGCUACUGGAUUCAGCGGCGGACGGGUGAGUAAUGCUUAGGAAUCUGCCUAUUAGUGGGGGACAACGUUCCGAAAGGAGCGCUAAUACCGCAUACGUCCUACGGGAGAAAGCAGGGGACCUUUGGGCCUUGCGCUAAUAGAUGAGCCUAAGUCGGAUUAGCUAGUUGGUAGGGUAAAGGCCUACCAAGGCGACGAUCUGUAGCGGGUCUGAAGAGGAUGAUCCGCCACACUGGGACUGAGACACGGCCCAGACUCCUACGGGAGGCAGCAGUGGGGAAUAUUGGACAAUGGGGGGAACCCUGAUCCAGCCAUGCCGCGUGUGUGAAGAAGGCCUUUUGGUUGUAAAGCACUUUAAGCGAGGAGGAGGCUACCUAGAUUAAUACUUUAGGAUAGUGGACGUUACUCGC
This 427-nucleotide ribosomal RNA is filed under the name Acinetobacter sp. Its description in RNAcentral is "bacterial SSU rRNA". It matches the Rfam family "Bacterial small subunit ribosomal RNA", at positions 61 to 482 of the family's 1533-position model. Lineage: Bacteria; Pseudomonadati; Pseudomonadota; Gammaproteobacteria; Moraxellales; Moraxellaceae. The record is from RNAcentral.